This is a long non-coding RNA of Passer domesticus (house sparrow), 1950 nucleotides long. RefSeq lists it as uncharacterized. The record is from RefSeq and is a predicted model, not a curated record. NCBI's taxonomy places the organism in Eukaryota, Metazoa, Chordata, Aves, Passeriformes, Passeridae. The transcript has 3 exons.
CUAGGCUGGAUUGUGAAUUCAUGCAUAGAACCAGACCUGCUCUACACCUAAUGCCAAAAAAAUCCUGCAAAGUUUUCCUCUGCUACGAAGCAACACAAAAAGCCCUCCUAGUCCAUCACCUGUUGCUCAAGCAGAACCAGGCAAGCCAGAGUGGUGACACUGAUCCCAAGUGAGUCCAGCCAAGCCAAGUGGAGCCCAGCAGGGUGGUAGGAAGAGGCAGCUAAGUGGCAGAUCCCAUUCCCACACACAUGCCCAGCGUGGCAGACUGAUGGCAGCAGCAGUGCCAAACAGAGCUCUGCAGGGACAGAGAGACACCCAUCACCAUCGCCACUGCCACCAUCCCUGCUGCAGAGAGGGAGCAGAAAACUGCCACUGCAGGUGCACAGCUCCUCCAGGCAGCACCAGCAGCCCCCAUCUACCAUCAGAACCAUUCUGUAAGCCGUCGCCAUCCUGUCUUUGUUCCAGGGGCCCCAUGUGACACUUCACCUUUGUUGCUUAAGCCAUUACUCCUUUUGCACUAUUUUCUUCUUAUUGUUGUGCACUGCUUUUUAUUUCCUCACUACAUUAUAACUCUAAUAGUUUUAACCUCUCAUUUAUUGUUUUCUCCAUUGACCCUUUCCAUUGUCAUGGAGAAGGAGAGAGAGGAGAGGCUUUACAAGGACUACCUCAAGAAGAGGACAUAGAAUGGAGGGAAGGCCUUAGAAAGAAUAAACAACCCUCAUGCUGCUGCUUUUGCAAGGAAUAAAUAUCCAAGUUUCUUAAUAUCCAGCCACAAAUCUGUGGAGUCUUGACAGCCAAGAAGUACAGGAACCUGGACACCUUGUUGUGAGAGACUAGAGGAGAUUGCUGGCUCAACACUUUUCAGGGGCUUGUAUGUGGGGAAGGGGCAGAUCAAGCCUUGCUCUGGUGAGGCCAUGCCCCACUCAGCACGCCCCACACCCCCAGGCCUGUAUCCCAGCCCAGCAGUGGCCACUGAUCCCUGGCACACCAGAGGCAAUGCUCCACACCUGUGUCUGGGGCCCCUAACCCAGCUCCUAAAUGGCCAGAGCAGUGUCCCUGGUAUGGCAGCAAGGCUGUUUGUUCCUGAAUUAGUCAACCAUCCUAGCAGGACCAUGUACCUAAUGACUACAAUAGCAAGUAUGGCUUUGAGUGCCAGAGGGGUAAGAGACCAAGAAAGAAAAGAGAGCCAUGUCUGUAGGAGUGUGCACCCUAAUGGCAGAGUGGCAAAACUAGCCUUUGUCCCCCAGAAAAGAAAAGAAGGCCAGAAGUUUCUCUCAAGGAUUAGGUGAAAAGCCACCUCAUGGGACCUCAGGGACUUCACCAAAUACUUGAGGACAUCUAAUUGGAUAGAAGCCAAAAAGUCCCGCUUGAUCCAUCAGGGAGAAAAAGAAGAGAAGAAAAGAACUAAGUGCUUUUGUGAAGUGUUUUUACCAGGAGCAGACUGCUGCACCUGGCUCGAGUUUUUCUCUUUGUUAUUAUACCUUUUAUUAAACCUUUUUGUUUCUAACACUGCAGCAGAAGUCAUCCUCCUAAUUUUAUGCCCCCAGAGUAAUAGAUAAGCUGUCCUUGGGUGUAUUAUAUUUCUUUUGAGGGCUUAUGAGACCUGGCUAAGAAAAAGAAACAUAAUAGAGCAGAACUGGGCAGCAGCAGGGGGUACUACAGUGCACUCACAGCCACCUGCCAAUGCAGCUGGCCAAAACUAAAACAAGCACAACCAAAAACCCAAACACUACAGGUGCUUGGCCUAAUAGCCUGGUUACUAAUAACAUAAGAAAACAACUAUUAAAGAUGACACCUGGGACACCAGCUGGCCAGAGCCAUUUCCCAGCUACCCCAAAACUUGCCUUUCUCUGCGAACACAGAGGUUUCAGUUGCCCACCUUUCAGAGAGAGGAGCCUGCCAGACCAGGCUGAACAUUCAGCAAUGUCUACUUGAAUGAUCUCAAGCUUU